GAGAUAACUCCUACGGGAGGCAGCAGUGGGGAAUUUUGGACAAUGGGGGCAACCCUGAUCCAGCAAUGCCGCGUGAGUGAAGAAGGCCUUCGGGUUGUAAAGCUCUUUUGUCAGGGAAGAAACGGUAGUAGCUAAUAUCUAUUACUAAUGACGGUACCUGAAGAAUAAGCACCGGCUAACUACGUGCCAGCAGCCGCGGUAAUACGUAGGGUGCAAGCGUUAAUCGGAAUUACUGGGCGUAAAGCGUGCGCAGGCGGUUGUGUAAGUCAGAUGUGAAAUCCCCGGGCUCAACCUGGGAAUUGCAUUUGAGACUGCACUGCUAGAGUGUGUCAGAGGGGGUAGAAUUCCACGUGUAGCAGUGAAAUGCGUAGAUAUGUGGAGGGAUACCGAUGGCGAAGGCAGCCCCCUGGUAUAACACUGACGCUCAUGCACGAAAGCGUGGGGAGCAAACAGGAUUAGAAACCCCAGUAGUCCUCCACU
Molecule: ribosomal RNA, 480 nt
Filed under: uncultured bacterium
Lineage: Bacteria
Description: bacterial SSU rRNA
Rfam family: Bacterial small subunit ribosomal RNA
Source: RNAcentral